RNAcentral lists this long non-coding RNA (1805 nucleotides) under Eptatretus burgeri (inshore hagfish). RNAcentral's name for it is "lncRNA (ENSEBUG00000017132.1)". The record is from RNAcentral. Lineage: Eukaryota; Metazoa; Chordata; Myxini; Myxiniformes; Myxinidae.
CAUCGAUGCAUCUUGGACAGCAAGGUCUGUUCUCCAGCGGAAUAGCAGCAUUUCAUGUCACUACUGCCCCCCCCCACCACCAUCCUGCACACCCCCUCCUUUCUUCCACAUCCCAUUUAGAUGCAGGGUUUGCAUUCGCAAUGGCCGUCUGAGGAGUGCUUUCACGCGAGAUGCCCCGUAUGACCGUGACACAUUUUGCAUGAAGCGGCAGACGAGUCCAAGUAGGUUGGAAAGGACAAUCAUACGGAUAAGCCAGACCGAAUGGGCCACCACCUUCCAGCUGCUGUGCCAAGCCAUCAGAGAGAUCUACUGUCCUGGUUGACAAGGCUACAGUUAUGACACGUGUGCCCUGGACAAUUUGUUUGAGGACAACGUGCUUUUCCAGAACACGGUUCUCCCCCUUUGAGAACGUUGCACAGGUACCAGCUUGCUCUCUUCUGGCGUGAUGGGAAACGUGGUGACUUGUUGCAAGAUAUGUCCGAAGAUUUCUCUGGAUCGGACUCGACAGGAUGACACCAUCUCGCUGCUUUCCAAUGAGCCCAGUGCUUCUUGGUCUCCAGUUCUGUCAUUUCAUUCAGCACCGGAGCCUGUUUCAAAAAUGGGGCAGACGGUCCCUCCGCUUGAGUCUUGCUGUGCUGCCAGCAGUGAGAGUGGUGGAAGUGGGGCACGAAUGCCCGAUGUGGUGCAAAGUGUUGGUACUCCAACGAGUAUAUUAGGCCGAAAUCUUAACCCCUUUGCUUGCUGCAAUCCUUUGCUGCAAGGGAUUGGGCAACAUGAAGCAGACAUUGCUUGUGCUGCUUCUGCUGCAAUCACAGGCACUGGCCCUUCAAACUGGACCUGUAUGGUACCGCCAUCUGGCUGCCAAGCACAAUGGCCAUGGGUUCCCGGUGACCGCAGAGAGACGGCAUGUGGAAUCGAGCUCAACCCAUUUUCGCUUAAUGCCAUGCUGGCAGUUCAGGAUUGGAGGCGGACAUUUUCUGGUGAAGCAAGCGGAGACGUUGGUGCUGCAGGCUUGCACACCAUGCCACCUGUGGCAGGAGCUGGGGAAGCUCGUGCUAGUGUGCCACCUCUAAUCUAUGACAACCGUUUGAUGCAACUUGUGGGAGAACAUGGCUUUUGCAGUGGCUGUAUCGAAGCAGCACUCUGCAGUCAUUGUUCAGGCUCGAGGGCCGAUGGUCUUAACUUAAGUCGUGCAGGAGUCCCAUUGGGUCUUUCCUCCAAUUUUGGCAUGACAAGAGGAAGCACUGAGGCACCAUGUCUCCUUGCCACCCGAGGUACUAUUCCGGCAUCAGACAGUGUCUUACAUGGCAUAGAAACAGAGGCCCAGCAAGGUUAUAGAGCAUCACUGCCUCCCGGGUUCCGCAGUAUGAUUUCUGAUCCAGAUGCUUGGUCGGAUGGUGAUAGGCCAGUUGACAUUGGACAGUGCUGUGGAGAGAUGGGCUGCAGCUGUGAAAACAUCGUGAAGAGAGUUUGUGAUGUCAAGGCCAGGCAAGGUUUUGAGCAAACCUCAAGGUCUGUCACAGGCGAAAGGGCCACAUCAUUGUCUGAUAUCUUUUCUGUGCCACAAGCCACGGGAAAAGGUAAAAGGAGAAAGAAGAAGAGACGUGGAUCGUCUUCAAGGAAAGACCCAGGGUGUCCGACUGAGGAGCUGCCGGCUCUGGAUGCAGCCUUCCCUGUCAAGAUCUCUGCACCUGGUGGAGACAACUUUGAGCUGCAGGUUUGUAUUUGUCUGCACUUGCCUUUUGAAACCUAAAAACGGUGUUAUGUUGUUUGAGUGUCUAAUAUGGCCAAACUGUCAUCAUUCU